This 427-nucleotide ribosomal RNA is filed under the name uncultured bacterium. Its description in RNAcentral is "bacterial SSU rRNA". It matches the Rfam family "Bacterial small subunit ribosomal RNA", at positions 355 to 774 of the family's 1533-position model. The record is from RNAcentral. RNAcentral also lists the same sequence under 2 other names.
UGGGGAAUUUUGGACAAUGGGGGCAACCCUGAUCCAGCAAUGCCGCGUGUGUGAAGAAGGCCUUCGGGUUGUAAAGCACUUUUGUCCGGAAAGAAAUCGCACUUACUAAUAUUAGGUGUGGAUGACGGUACCGGAAGAAUAAGGACCGGCUAACUACGUGCCAGCAGCCGCGGUAAUACGUAGGGUCCAAGCGUUAAUCGGAAUUACUGGGCGUAAAGCGUGCGCAGGCGGUUGUGCAAGACCGAUGUGAAAUCCCCGGGCUUAACCUGGGAAUUGCAUUGGUGACUGCACGGCUAGAGUGUGUCAGAGGGGGGUAGAAUUCCACGUGUAGCAGUGAAAUGCGUAGAGAUGUGGAGGAAUACCGAUGGCGAAGGCAGCCCCCUGGGAUAACACUGACGCUCAUGCACGAAAGCGUGGGGAGCAAACA